UGUUACCAAACGGCGACUUUGAACUAGGACCAAAACCAUCGGACAUGAAAGGAACGCAAGUAAUAAACAAGAAGGCGAUUCCUAGCUGGGA
This 91-nucleotide small RNA is filed under the name Arabidopsis thaliana (thale cress). RNAcentral describes it as "ATSL246770". Lineage: Eukaryota; Viridiplantae; Streptophyta; Magnoliopsida; Brassicales; Brassicaceae. The record is from RNAcentral.